CGCUCGAUUCCCCCCUUUCUCCUCUUACUUGUUCAGGAGAUGUUACCAAAUGUUCCGAUCCUUGUGGUGUAAAGCAGGACCAAAUCUCUAAAGGAAGACCACCAUUAAUGGACAAUCAUCAUCAUCAUCAGCAGCAGCAAGCCUGUAUACUAUCUUCAGAUUGCAGAAUCCAGAUUUUCUUAUGAAACCUAGGGUUAGUUUCAUGUUCACUAGUAAUAAUCUUCUUCUGAUUCUUCAUUUAUUGUUAGUUAUUUGAUAAGUUCAUGUGGAUUAUCUGAAAAUGUGGCUCUCACUGUUUCUAAGCAAAUUAGUUUUAACAUUAUUUCAAAAUUAUGGUUUCACUAAGCCUCACAUUUCAAAAUUCAUCUCCAAGCGACCAGCGUUCUUGUUAUCAUCUAAAGGGCUACAUGGAAUAGAACUAGCAAACUAUGUCUCAAGGAACUCAACCGUCCUGAAAUAUAGCCUAAAAUCCCGAUUAGGUCCUUCGUUUGAUAUCCUUAAGACCAUUGUUCAUACUGAUACAAACGUCAUUAAAAUGAGUAAACGGUUCACUUGCAUUCUCAACUUAAAUGUAGUCGAAAGGUUGAUGGUCAAUCUAGAGAUUUUGAGAUGUGAAGGUGUCCCUGAAUCUAAUAUACGGGUUAAUGGAAAAGGUUAAUGGAAUGGGUUUUGAUCCUUUACUUACAACAUUUCUUGUAGCUAUACGGUUAUUGACCCAAAUGAGCGAAGCCACUUGGAAGUCAAAAAUGGAUGUUUACAAGAGAUGGGGUUGGUCUGAAGAUCAAAUUCAAACAGCAUUUAGGAAAAAUCCUUGUUCUAUGACGUAUUCUGAGAGCAGGAUUAUGGCAGUUUGGGUUUUUUGUGAAUGAAAGGAGUUAUUUCAUUGACUAUUGGGGAAAACCCAGUGAUUUUAAAAAUUCUUGUUCUAUGAUGUAUUCCAAGAAGAAGAUUAUGGCAGUUAUGGGUUUUCUUGUGAAUGAAAUGGGUUAUGAUUCAUUCAGUCUAGUGGAAAACCCGGUGAUUUUGAAUGCUAGCUUGAAGGGGAGAGUUAUCCCCAGGGGCUUUGUUAUCAGAAUUUUAGUCUCGAAGGGUCUGAUUGAAGAAAAAAAUUCUCUGAGGUCACUUUCAAGAAUGACUGAUAACUCCUUCGCAGACAAGUUUGUGAAGCUGUAUGAGCAAGAAGCUCCAGAGUUAAUAAAGGUAUUCCAAAAUCAGUAUGAGCGAGAAGCUCCUGAAUCGAUGAGGGUAUUCCAAAGUUAGAUGAAUAACCGAGAGCUACUUUCGAAAUGAAGGAUUUGAAGAGUUUAUUACGCGCUACUGACAAUACCGAGUUGGGGACAGCUUGUGGGCGAUAAUACCAUGUUUCAUGCCUUGGUACCAUUGAUCCAUAUGAUUCUGAUUUCAUCAAAACCCUUGCUGGUGACCAGUAAGCAGAGAAAGCUAGUGGUUCAGUGUAUCCAGUCACUAGAUUCAGAAUUUACCUUGUUUGAUAUUCACCUUUUCUCUGUCCUCAAUCUUUUUUAAGUUGAGCUAUAUUUGAUUUGAAUCAUAUCAUCUUUUUUAAGUUAAGCUAUCUUUUUUAAGUUAAGCUAAAUUCUGGAAGUAUGCUUCUGCACUUUAUGAGACAAUUUUUUGUAUUUUCCACAGCAUUGCCAAGUGCCACUGCUUCAAAAAUGUAAAAUGUCAUUUUUUUGGUCAUUUAUAUUUUUUUUGCAAUAACUCUUCAACAUUCAACUGUAGG
Long non-coding RNA from Papaver somniferum (opium poppy), 1741 nucleotides. RefSeq lists it as uncharacterized. The record is from RefSeq and is a predicted model, not a curated record. NCBI's taxonomy places the organism in Eukaryota, Viridiplantae, Streptophyta, Magnoliopsida, Ranunculales, Papaveraceae. The transcript has 3 exons.